This 75-nucleotide transfer RNA is filed under the name Gimesia maris. Its description in RNAcentral is "tRNA-Leu". It matches the Rfam family "tRNA". Rfam says of the family: Transfer RNA (tRNA) molecules are approximately 80 nucleotides in length. Their secondary structure includes four short double-helical elements and three loops (D, anti-codon, and T loops). The record is from RNAcentral. Lineage: Bacteria; Pseudomonadati; Planctomycetota; Planctomycetia; Planctomycetales; Planctomycetaceae.
GGCUCGGUAGGCAACUGGCAGACCACACUGAAUUAGAAUCAGUGAUGCUGUGGGUUCGAAUCCCACUCGAGCUAC